Molecule: ribosomal RNA, 301 nt
Filed under: uncultured bacterium
Lineage: Bacteria
Description: partial 16S ribosomal RNA
Rfam family: Bacterial small subunit ribosomal RNA
Source: RNAcentral
CAGCCGCCGCGGUAAUACAGAGGGUGCGAGCGUUAAUCGGAUUUACUGGGCGUAAAGCGUGCGUAGGCGGCUUUUUAAGUCGGAUGUGAAAUCCCCGAGCUUAACUUGGGAAUUGCAUUCGAUACUGGGAAGCUAGAGUAUGGGAGAGGAUGGUAGAAUUCCAGGUGUAGCGGCGAAAUGCGUAGAGAUCUGGAGGAAUACCGAUGGCGAAGGCAGCCAUCUGGCCUAAUACUGACGCUGAGGUACGAAAGCAUGGGGAGCAAACAGGAUUAGAUACCCCAGUAGUCCCUGUCUCUUAUAC